Long non-coding RNA from Humulus lupulus (European hop), 4151 nucleotides. RefSeq lists it as uncharacterized. The transcript has 4 exons. The record is from RefSeq and is a predicted model, not a curated record. NCBI's taxonomy places the organism in Eukaryota, Viridiplantae, Streptophyta, Magnoliopsida, Rosales, Cannabaceae.
CUGUGUUUUUAUUAUUAUUUCAUUUAUCAAUCUCUCAAACCUAUCUAACCUCUCGGCGCACUCUCUAGGUCUCUAACCCUUUUCUCUUGCAGAUGUUUGGCACUAAAAGCUCGACGAAGACGAAGACAACGACGGGGCUCGAUAGCGCGAGGGAUUGACAAUAUGUCUCACUGCUUUCGUCCUUGCAGGUCCGACGGUGUGCGGGGUCGAGGUUGGGUGAACGGUAGUGCAUGAGGUCGGGAUGGUGUUCAUUCAACCCCUCGUUUGCGACAAUGGUACUGGAAUGGUGAAGGUUUGCAUUUCAAAUUUCGGCAUCGUCUGCGGUCACACGGGUUCAGAGGUUGGGAAAUCAAUUGCUUGGGUUCAUAGAUUGGGUUAAGAGAUUGAGUUCAGAGAAUGGGAAUGGUGAAGAUUCUUAUAUGGUUUUCACUUCUCUUUUAUUGAUGAAUCUGUUGUGGGGGAUUCGGUCCCUGGAAGUUCUCAUAGAUAGCAAGUUUUUGGAAUAGAGGAUUUUCUCUAGUUACCUCUGCUGCCAUUAUAUAGUGCAGAGUUGGCCUUCCCUUAGACAAGUACAUUCUAAGGUGGACAAGCUAAGCAUUUGACUCAACCCAAGGCUGAGAAGAAAGAGUAAGAUGAGCAUUUGACUCAGUUUGCAAGUGUUAUGCCUCGUAAUUUUUAUUUUAAUACUAUGCAAAUGUUAGAGGAGUUUGAAUAUUUUAAAUAUUCAUCUAUAGUGAAGUAGGUUAUGGGAUUGUUACUGUGUGCUGUGGUGAUAACAGAAGGUUGAGAACUUGCGUGUUUUAGUGAAAUAGGAUCUGAGAAAUUUGUGUGUUGCGGAGAUAAGAAAAAAAACUUGUGUGUUUGAAUUGAUAUUGGCAGAUGGUUGGUUGCUAGUAUGGGGAAAAUGUUGUUCGAUUUUAUGUAGAGUUGUCUAUGAUUAUUCUAUAAUUGAAUUGUGUUUGUUUGAUUGGUUUGAUUAUAACAUAUACUUGUAUGAAUGUACUUAUUGAUUGGUUAUAUUACAUUAAUAAUAACUUUUGGUUAUGGUUGUUAUUUUUUUAUGUAUUUUAUAUUUUAAUAAAAUUUACUUUUUGUACCUUGAUAACAAAAUAAUGAAAAAAUAUAUUAGAUUUACAAAAAUAUCAAUAUCAUCAUAUUAAGUAACUCGGUCCAAAUACAUAUUUCAUUAAAUAAGUGAACAAUUUUCAAAAAGUAAAUUUAUUAGAGAAUCAAAGUCAUCAUGGUAAACUUCUAGCUAAAAUUUGAAAAAACUUUCAUGUUUCUCUUAAAAAGUGAACAACGAAAUCUAAAGAUAUUAUGAUGCUUUGUUAUUUCCAUUUGCUUUGAAAUCCUAUUGUCAAGCCCAAAAAGUUUAUCAUGACCUUCUAUUUGAUUCCCUCUGUGGAAGGGUGGAAGGGUCAGAAAUGAAACAUCAACAACAUUAAAGCACUAUUAGUACUAAAUGUCAUAAUAUUAAACAAUGUAUAACUAAUAAACCCAACAAACUUGAUCUUAUAAUAUUCCCACUACAAAAAAAAAAGCAUGAAACUAUUCUGAAUGGUAUACAAAAAAAAUCACAUAAUUAUUGAAUAUGGCAUAACAGCAGCAACAUUUAAGUUAAAAGUUUAAGGAUACACCAAAAAGAAGGAAUAACUAAGUUUCUGACUCAAAUAAACCCAAAAACAAAAAGGGAAAAUACUAAUAGUCUCUACAUAACAGGAUAUGAUGAAGUCUCUAACAUGGAACUUAUGAAACUAAUCUGAAACUAUUUUGAUUUGAAUAAGUCAUAAUAUAUAUCAACAUAUAUGCUUACUCCUAUUUAAUCAUGACUUUCUACUAAAUAAUUAAUUUAGUUGAGAUUAUAUCCAUUAAAUAACAAGUUACUCAAAAGUUAUCAUGAACUCUGCAAGACUUGCCAUGCGAAUGCACACUCACCAUAUUCUGUGCUUGCAAUAAACCAUGAAAUAUGAUAUAUAUAUAUAUAUAUAUAUAUAUAUAAGCCACCAAAGAGAAAGCCCAAACAUAUAUAAUAUUCUCCAUGCAUCUCUUACAUCAGAAAAGUGACCAUAAGAAAACAGAAAACAUCAAGUAAUGGAGCAAAUUUCAGGCCCAAUGCAACAAAUGGUGCCUAGGCCUAGAGAAAACAUAGGCAGUACAUUCAUCCAAAGUUAUGGUACAUGGUUCCAAAUUUUAAUAAAUAAUAUAAGGUUUGCCAAUGUGAUUUCUCUUCUAUCCUAAUUUUCAUAGACAAAUAGAAUGUUAUAAGCUAAUACUCAUUAAGUGCGUGAAAUUCUAUGAUAUGUUUAUCCCAGGAUUCAACAACAUGCCAUAUUAACAAAUAUGAUCAAUGGAAACAAAUACCAUAAUAAUAAAAUAUAAAUUAAAGAUUCACCAUACAGGAGUACCCCUAGAUGCAUAUUAGCAUGCCUUGGUUCUUAACUAAGCCAUUGUUGUCUAUACUGGAAAGAACCUAAUUAAAUAGAGAAAAGAAUAAAAAACAAUACCAGAAAGAAAAGUAGGCAGUAGCAGGAUUGCUCAGUUGACUAUGAAGCUCAGUGUCUCUAUCAAAGAAAAAAUGAAACAAACUGUAAAGAAGAAUGAAAGUAAAUAGAACAGUUUAAAGCACUUCAUGAUUUCUUAGUUAAAAAAAUAGAAGUAUGAAUGUCAUCUGGAGUAGACUGAGAACUUAACGGCAAUGGAGACUGAGUAUUCUGCUAGAUGUAUGUGUGAUGGGUAGCGUGAAGAUAUUUGUAGAGGGAUGUCAUAUGUGUGAAGAUAACGGCAAUGUCAUAUGUGUGAUGUGUGAUGGGUACGUGAAGAUAUUUAAAUGACUUAUUGAAUCAGAAAUUACCAAAAAAAAUCAUUUUGCCACUUAUGAAAAAUAGCCAAAAUAUCAUCAUAAGUAUUACAAUGGCUUUGACAUGUAUUCAAACAACAAAAUGAUAGUAAGAAAGUAUGUUAAAUACUGAAAGAGGUAAUUUAUCAAACACUAUGCAAUCAAGUAAUCAGAAAAGAGAAACAAAACAACUGAACUACAAAUAUAUCAUCAAUCAAGUAUAUAUGAUACAAUUCAAUCUGCAUAAACUAUAAAGUAAGAAAACAGAGCAUAAAUAAUAGAGUAUAAACUAUUUCCACUAAAAUCAAAUCACAAUAAGCUUAAAUCAUAUUAAUACAUCUAAUUCAAAGUAAAAACUAUAAGCUAAAUGAAGAGCACAACAUUCAUAAAGAGAAACACAGCAACGAAUUGGAGAUUGAUACUUAGAAUGGUAGGCCCAACACUCAAAAUUAUUUAGAACUUAAUAUGGACAUAAUUAACCGACCCAAUAUCUAAAUCAAUAGCACUUAUUGAAAAAUGUCAUUUUUUAGUGGUAUAUAUAGUCUGAAAUGUUGUAGUGAUAUAUUUUAUAUUUGGUAUUCUAUGGCAUAUUUGUGUUGUGUUUACUCUGUUAGUGCUGAAGACUUUUGUUUAUUAUCUUGUUAUGUUAAUCAGCUUUAGGGUAUAUUUGUGUUUUGAAGUCGGUGCUUGUUGAUUUUAGUAUAUAUUAUGCAUAUAUAUUUUUUGUUGGAUACUUUGCCUAUGAUUUUGUUUUGUUUAUUCAGAUUUAGAAUAUAUAUGUGUACUAUUGUAAUUAAGUUCUUUUUUGUUAUUUAUUUUUUAUAUUAAUUGAUUUUAGAAUAUAUAUAUCUAUAUAAAAAUGUUUUUGUUGGAUAUUUCUUUCUGGUAUUAUUAUGUUUAAUUAUUUUUAUAUAUAUGUAUACUGUAAUUCACAAUAUCAUUGGUCUUCCAACCGUCUCAAACAUUGUUGGCAUUCUUACAAGGUCAGUUUUUGUUUAAUAAUCUCAAAGAGGGAUUAAUCAACUAAUUUUACAUAUUUAUAUUGUUGGUUCUCUCAUUCAUUCGUUAAUAUAUUAUGGUAAGAUAUACUAUUUAAUUAUAAUUUGAAGUCUUUAAUUCUUUGGUGCAGGGAAUAUCAUAGGACUGACUUUUAAGGUGGAUGUUUAGAUUUAUUCGGAAGAAUAUUGAUAAAAGAAACAUGAUUGAGUUUGCAGUGAUUUGGAGAAGAGAAUUAUGUUGUCUUGUUGAGAUUUGUUGUAUUAUAUAUUUUGAAGUUUAUGAAUUUAUAAUAUUAUAAUGAAUUUUUAUUGAGAAU